UACACACCGCCCGUCACACCAUGGGAGUUUGGCUUUACCUGAAGGCGGUGCGCUAAACCCGCAAGGGAGGCAGCCGACCACGGUAGGGUCAGCGACUGGGGGUG
RNAcentral lists this ribosomal RNA (104 nucleotides) under uncultured bacterium. RNAcentral describes it as "partial 16S ribosomal RNA". The record is from RNAcentral.